UCUGCCUAUCAGAACUGCGGCGCAUUUAUGGCGAGAUCGACAGGGGGACCCACGAGAUCCGCGCCCAAGACAGAUACUUGUCUGGUGGGCCCGGGUUAGCCUGACCCCCUGUGCCUUGAGUCGGGCGAGGUGGAAUCUUGCGGCGGGGGGUCGGGUGCUCCCGAUCCCAGGCCCGCGGGUCGGGUGAGGUGGAGCUUGGUCUUCAAGGGGUCGGGGAUGCCCAACCCCGGGACAUUGGGUCGGGCGAGGCGGAGCGUGGC
RNAcentral lists this long non-coding RNA (260 nucleotides) under Setaria viridis. RNAcentral describes it as "long non-coding RNA (SVIR_LNC000324)". Lineage: Eukaryota; Viridiplantae; Streptophyta; Magnoliopsida; Poales; Poaceae. The record is from RNAcentral.